Molecule: long non-coding RNA, 5600 nt
Organism: Gallus gallus (chicken)
Lineage: Eukaryota; Metazoa; Chordata; Aves; Galliformes; Phasianidae
Exons: 4
Source: RefSeq, a predicted model, not a curated record
CGAUAACAAAAGCAGGUACAAAAUCCCGACACUGAAAAAGAGUCAGCCCGAGCUGAGCUAUCCAACAAAUUUCUAGUUUGUUAUGUCAUGAGAUAGACAAGUCAGGGCACAGUAACAGCCAGAGCUAUCAGCAUCCCACCCAAAAGUCAAAAUGUCAGUAUUUGUCAGAAGCACGGCUUGCUUCAACUCAUUUUUGAAGAGAAAAUAUCCUAGGGUUUUCUCUUUGGUAGAAACCAGCUUUGCAAGGCUAGACCCUCAGCGACCUGCAGUUCAAACACAUACACAUCUCCCUACCCCCCUCUUCCAAAAUUGCUCCUUUCUGGUACUUCAGCCAUCCCCAGCAGAGCAGGACCUACUGCCAUUCCUUCUGGCCACGGACAACAUACGCAGCACAGCCUGCAGCAGACAGAUAGGCAGCUGCACUGGUGCUGUGAAGAAAUAGAGAACGCAAAAAACUGUAUCAAUGAAAGAGGGAAAAUAUGCCAUAAAGUGGAAAAGAUAUUAUGCACUGUUUUUGGAGUUUUCUUGUCUGUGCUAUGACAGCAGACAUGAAAGAGAUGGGAAUGCCAUCAGGAGCUACAGGUGUAGAUGAAAAUGAUGUCCAAAUGCAAAGGUAGAAUUAUUGGUACUGUGUUACCCUGAAGUAAUUAUUGUUCUGCAGUCCUCACCCAUUGAAAAUCUUAACAAGGUAAGCAUUAAUAUGCUGUACAUUGCCUCUGGAAAUAGGCAGUGUGACUGAAGUGUGCAUAAUAAACUAGUCCAGGUUGCAACACAAGAGAGCUUUGCACAGGCAUACGUGACCACAUGCUCCUGCUCAGACAUCUAUAGCAGACUGUCCCUUCCAUUGUCAUUUACACGCUCCUGAGUAAUUGCACUCAUAAGGGUGACUCUGCUGAAAUGAGCAGGAAAUCGACUGAAAUAUCGAUGCUGCCAAAAGAUCCUGUGCACGUUGAGGGAACAUUUCAUUUUAUGUUUCUAUUAUAUACAGCUGGGGAACAUGGCAACCAGUCAUCGGGAGAUGUCCAUGUUGCACUGGAGUUCUUCAGACAUGAAUAGCUGAUAAACAGCAUCACCAUUAAGUAGGGUGAAGUUCUUCUCAGUCCAAAACGGUCCACUCACUACCACUUGUAAUGGCAGCUGUGAGCCACUUUGUGCCGGAGGAGUGCAGUAUUUGAGAUGAAGGAUAGAAGCCAAAAUUCAACAUUUCACAGCUAUCAGAACUUUCCUUGAUCAUGAAGCCUCUGACCCCAGAAAACAUGAAGGGCUGCAGAAGCUGAGCAAUGAACAGAUAUCCCACCAGUUUUGUAUUCUCAUGUGACUUUGCUGCUGUUAUAUUUGACUCCCAAACAACUCUAUUUUGGCGAAGAAACUGCAGAUCUUCCAGACCUCAAAUUUCAAGAAAAGUUAGUACUCAUCCAGGUAUUCAUAAAUAAUUCAUAACAUAGCUUCAUCUUUAGCACCAUAUUAAAGUCAGCCUAUUAAUUUGCAAAUCCGUAUUUGCAUUAUUCAUUUUGUUCUAAUUGCAGAAAUUCUCAAAUAAAGCUGAGAAACACUGCAUCACUAGGAGUUGUUAGAAGUUAGGGACAAGUAUUUUUACCUAGAACCAAGGCUCAGUUUCCUGUUCGAUACCUUUGAGCUCUUGGCUAAAUGCAGCUUGACAUCUUAGCCCAAUUUUUGUGGAAACAAGCUCGUGCAAUCAUGUUUCAUGCAUACAUCCUAGGGGGUUCAUAAACCCACAGGCCAAACUAAACUAAAAUCUGGCAAAAGAGCAAAGUACUCUUAAAGAAGACUCAGUACAUUUCAGCUACUUCAAGUUGCUUGAAAAUAAAUAACUACACAUAAAAGAGAGGCAUCUUAUGUGCCUUAGCCAAAUAUACAUCUCAUUAGAAAUUAGGGAAGCCAUAUGGAAGGGAACUAAAAAAAAUGCCUUACUUAAAGAAAACCUCGGUCAGCUAUCUUUUCAAUUUUAGAGACUGUGGUAUAGGUAAGAGAGGAACAUGCAUGUUGGCAAGCAUCAUCUUUGAAAUAUAUUUACAUACUGGCCAAACAUUUGUUUUGAGCUACCAUAUAUCCAUAUUUUCUGGAAUAAGGCAAGUUACUACACAUAAAAGUAAAGCCCAUGAGAGAUGUUUACCCUACUGAAACCUCUAGAGUUUUUGGACCCCUUGGUCCAAAACUCUCAGAGGGGAGACAGAGAGGGAGGUACUGGUCUCUUCCUCCUUGUAACCAAUGACAAAAUAUGGAGAAAUGUCACAAAGUUGCACCAGAGGACGUUCAGACUAGACAUUAGGAAAAAUUUAUUUACCACGAGUAUAGCAAAACACUGGAACUUGCUUGCCAGAGCAGCGGUUGAUGCGCCUGUCAGUGCUCAAGAAGUUUUUGACCUCAAAAAUAUGCUUUAACUUUUGGUAAGGUCUGAACGGUCAGGCAGUUGGACUCUAUGAUCUUUGUAGGGACCUUCCAACUGAACUGUUCUAAACCAUGUACAUGCACCUCUUUGCCAUGUUUUGUAUCAUCAGCACCUGAAAUGAACAUAACCACAUCUCUACUUAAACAAGAAGAAACAGUGGACUUCCCCUUUUCCACCUAGUGCGCCUGUCAGUGUUUUCUGGCAAAACAGACAUUUGGUGGAGGUACCUAGGAUAAGCAUCCCCACCCCACCACCAGGAAGAGCUUCUCUGCCGGGGCUCUACAGCUCUCCUGACACAGAAGACAAAGGCCAGUCUGCAGUUCUUACUCCUGCCUAAGUUUCAAUUUUAGGUCUUUAUGAAAGCCAGAGCAAGGAACACCCAGCCAUCAAAAAGAAAUAUCUGACCUAAUCAAUACAUUGAGCCAAGACAGCCAAAACAGAAACAGAAUCCUUCAUGGGAAGAUGGAAACACCUUCUGGGAGACAACUGUGUCUGGGGGUCUCUUUGUUUGUAGCAGAGUCCCACCCUCUGAUUCCAUUUCAAAGUAUUUCUGCUUCACAGAGACCAGUCAGGCAGUUCAUAUCACUGCUCCAAUAUCCUGACCUGCUAAAGCUGGAUGUCUCAGGCAGAUGCUGCUGAAGAGAAAGUCAGGUGGGUCACUGACUCCUCAUAGGUCAUUCUUGUUGAUCAUCUAUCUUAAAACUAGAUAACGUACUUUAUUUUGAUGGUAAGCAAACAAAGAAAAAAUAAAAAAGUUCAGUUUGCAACCAAAGCAGUGCUCCUAAUACAAAAUGUUUUGUGAGGACACAUCUCUCUCACAGCACUACCUUAAACCAUGUGGAGACUUUCUGGGCCCUGAAAAAAAAAAAAUAGAAAAAAGAAAAAAAGAAAAAGAGAUCCCAAGAAGCUGGCCUACAAAAACUCCUCAUACAGUGUCCUGGAAAGUCUUGGAGAAUACCACGCAUCACACUCAGGUGGGUGUAUAUACAACGUGUUGACUGCUCCACCUGACCAUGACUUAUUCAGCAUGUCAGAAGAGCCAAGACCUGUGUUCAAAUUCCAGCAGGUCUCUAGCUGCAUUUGGUGAUUUGGGCAGACGUUUCAGAGUUACCAGAAAAAAAAAAAAUAUAUAUAUAUAUAUGUAAAUGUACACACAUCAGCUACAAAAACUUGUUUGAGCAAUUUUGGCUGACACAAAGUUACACCUCAGCCCAUCAGCUUUGUCCCCACCGACAUCAACAGGAAGAUUGCUGUGAACCUGAACAGGAUUUUGUUUUGGGUGUUUUUCCAGGUUUCCAUGUCACAUAGCAGGGUCAAACUCAAACUAGCCCUAGCCUAUGACAUGAGGCAUGUUAAGAUCAAAACAGACAUGGUUUAUACAGAUUUUGCAUAACAUGCUAGUAGUUAACUUUCUGGCUUUUCUUUCAGUUCAUUCUAUAGAGAAUAAAUAGCACGUAAGAAAAAUGUAUGAUAAUCGUGCUCAGAAUAUACAUCUAUAUGGAUUGUUGACACCUAAUAAGUGGUGCGUUACUAGGGAACCUUACCCUCUACAUCUCAAAUUUGAAGAAAUAUUUAGGAUGAGAGAACUCUGGAAGGUAAGGGAGCAACUAAUGGCACUGUGUUUCCACAGCUGUAAGAGUACAAGGCAGAUAAUUCUCUUUUUAUUCCCUUCUGGCAGGCUGGAGCAAAGAAGUAACAUGAAGUGCUCAUAGUCCCAGUCUAAACUCUGGUUCUCUGCAGCCUGGUCUCUUCCAGUUAAAUCUCUCUCUGUUUUCUCUCCCAGAAGAAUACCAAGUUCACACUUUGAGAAAGCAUUUGGAAGAAGAUAAAUGCAAUUCUAGCAUUAGGAUUUUGAGGGUUAGCCAUCACAUUUUUCAAAAAAAGAGGACUGUUAGAAUUAAUUGUCUCCCCCGCUCUGUACACCUCCUACCAAAGAGCAUUAAACCUCAAGAGAUACGUCUGAGGACGUUGUUAAAGCAGAGCUGAAAACCCAGGUUGGGGACUUGGACUACAAAGCAGUACCAACGCCACCACUGUUGGCAUUUCCAAAUAAAAUUUUUCAGGAUCUGCUUCAAAUUCAGGGCAUAUCAGAGACCGUCCUGCUACUCUCUCCUCACCAACGCCAGUAGGAGUAUCAAGCUCCAGGAACAGCCAGCUUAAGGAACACUGCCCCCCAAAAUGGCUCAGAGGGCAUCUAGGACAUACCUUGUAUGCAUGCAUGAGAAAAACUGGGUCACCACGAGUCCUUCCACGUUUUUUCUUCUGUGGAUGCUCUGCAGCAUGAGGUAAAAUCCUGCAACAAGAGCAGCAGGAGAGCAGUAUUAGAAAACCCAUCAAUAGGUCAAGUGCCCAGGGAUACAGAGGUCUGAAACACAUUGUGCGAGCCCUUUCUUACUCAGUAAUUCCCCAUUCAUCUUAUCUACAGUUCAGUCAAGCAAAGUAUUCAAUCAGAAUUAAUUCUAACUAUAUAUAAAUGAAAGAGUGCAUUUAGAAAACCCCAGUGGAAAUUCAUAUCAGUAACAGAGACAAGUAACAGGAAGUAUCUCCACAUUAGAUGCAAUAAAUAAAUAAAAUUCCAUUUUAAAAAAAGCGAAUCAUCUAAAAUCAUCUAUCAUAGUUCAGAUUUGGGCAGAGCCAGGGUCAUAAAAGAACUCAUGACUCAGAAUAUGCUGAAUCACUAUUCACGCUGGGAAAACACCCACUGAGAGCAUCUCUUGUCCUACCAUAGAAAGGGACAGAGGGAAUGUUUCUUCAAGUGCUUUGGAAUGACUUUCUUCAGAAACGAAAAUUCCCCAUGCUGAACUGCAGAUGGAAACGUUCUCAAAAGGAGAGGGAAAACGAAACUGUAUGUGUAUAACACAAGGCUGAUUUGAGUUAGCUAUUGCAAAAGUCAAGUUUUCAUUUUUAGUAGCAGAAAACAAGACUGGAUUACAUUCAGUUUGCAUAAACAGAGCAGGCAUAAAGCCCAGAGGCCUCAGUUUCUCUGCAGUCUGUUAAAUACUGAGAUGCCCUAGGUGGGACCACGUGGCAUAGCAAAAGAGGACACAACAUUGUGCAUCAGUGGCCAUGGCCACAGCAGUAACACCACAGCCUCAACUGCCAGGACCUUCCAGAAAUACAGGUAGAUUGAGUAUAGAGUUUUCCUGUUGGGAACUAUCCCUUCUGGUCCUGUCCUAUAUAUCUCUCCAGA